Molecule: ribosomal RNA, 388 nt
Filed under: uncultured bacterium
Lineage: Bacteria
Description: partial 16S ribosomal RNA
Rfam family: Bacterial small subunit ribosomal RNA
Source: RNAcentral
AUACGUAGGUGGCGAGCGUUAUCCGGAAUUAUUGGGCGUAAAGGGUGCGCAGGCGGUUUGAAAAGUUUAAGGUGAAAGCGUGGGGCUUAACCCCAUACAGCCUUAGAAACUGUCAGACUAGAGUACAGGAGAGGGCAAUGGAAUUCCAUGUGUAGCGGUAAAAUGCGUAGAUAUAUGGAGGAACACCAGUGGCGAAGGCGGUUGCCUGGCCUGUAACUGACGCUCAUGCACGAAAGCGUGGGGAGCAAAUAGGAUUAGAUACCCUAGUAGUCCACGCCGUAAACGAUGAGAACUAAGUGUUGGGGAAACUCAGUGCUGCAGUUAACGCAAUAAGUUCUCCGCCUGGGGAGUAUGCACGCAAGUGUGAAACUCAAAGGAAUUGACGGGG